AUACGAAGGGGGCUAGCGUUGUUCGGAAUUACUGGGCGUAAAGCGCGCGUAGGCGGAUUGGUCAGUUAGGGGUGAAAUCCCAGGGCUUAACCCUGGAACUGCCUCUAAUACUGCCAGUCUUGAGUUCGGGAGAGGUGAGUGGAAUUCCUAGUGUAGAGGUGAAAUUCGUAGAUAUUAGGAAGAACACCAGUGGCGAAGGCGGCUCACUGGUCCAAUACUGACGCUGAGGUACGAAAGCGUGGGGAGCAAACAGGAUUAGAAACCCCAGUAGUCC
Molecule: ribosomal RNA, 274 nt
Filed under: uncultured bacterium
Lineage: Bacteria
Description: partial 16S ribosomal RNA
Rfam family: Bacterial small subunit ribosomal RNA
Source: RNAcentral